GGUUCUUUAGCUCAAUGGUAGAGCAAUUGACUGUUAAUCAAUAGGUUAUAGGUUCGAGCCCUAUAAGAACCG
Molecule: transfer RNA, 72 nt
Filed under: Bacteriophage sp.
Description: tRNA-Asn
Rfam family: tRNA
About the family: Transfer RNA (tRNA) molecules are approximately 80 nucleotides in length. Their secondary structure includes four short double-helical elements and three loops (D, anti-codon, and T loops). Further hydrogen bonds mediate the characteristic L-shaped molecular structure. tRNAs have two regions of fundamental functional importance: the anti-codon, which is responsible for specific mRNA codon recognition, and the 3' end, to which the tRNAs corresponding amino acid is attached (by aminoacyl-tRNA synthetases). tRNAs cope with the degeneracy of the genetic code in two manners: having more than one tRNA (with a specific anti-codon) for a particular amino acid; and 'wobble' base-pairing, i.e. permitting non-standard base-pairing at the 3rd anti-codon position.
Source: RNAcentral